This 425-nucleotide ribosomal RNA is filed under the name uncultured bacterium. Its description in RNAcentral is "partial 16S ribosomal RNA". It matches the Rfam family "Bacterial small subunit ribosomal RNA", at positions 354 to 796 of the family's 1533-position model. The record is from RNAcentral.
GUGGGGAAUCUUAGACAAUGGGCGCAAGCCUGAUCUAGCCAUGCCGCGUGGACGAUGAAGGCCUUAGGGUUGUAAAGUCCUUUCGCUGGGGAAGAUAAUGACGGUACCCAGUAAAGAAGCCCCGGCUAACUCCGUGCCAGCAGCCGCGGUAAUACGGAGGGGGCUAGCGUUGUUCGGAAUUACUGGGCGUAAAGCGCGCGUAGGCGGAUCGGAAAGUUGGGGGUGAAAUCCCGGGGCUCAACCUCGGAACUGCCUUCAAAACUCCCGGUCUUGAGUUCGAGAGAGGUGAGUGGAAUUCCGAGUGUAGAGGUGAAAUUCGUAGAUAUUCGGAGGAACACCAGUGGCGAAGGCGGCUCACUGGCUCGAUACUGACGCUGAGGUGCGAAAGCGUGGGGAGCAAACAGGAUUAGAAACCCCGGUAGUCC